AUUCAUAUAACAAAAACUAAUGAUUGAUUAAAAAAAAAAUAACUAAUGAUUUCAUUUCUCUAUUUUGUAGGUUGAUGAAAAUGAAAUUGGGAUAUUCACUUCCAGUGAUGUGCAUGAUUUUGUUCUGCUAUAUUCUAUGUUGUAGCCUUUUGAUGAGUCAUUGUCAUGGCGUUGUAGAAGCAGCAAAGGCAUUAAAAAGCAAUGAAGAUCUUGAAAUAGAGCAAAAACUUGAGCUUAUCAACAAACAUACGGUUAAAAUCAUAAAGGUUUAUCCUCUUACCAUAUUAUAGAAUAAUUGAAUGUGUUUAAAUAUGUAUAACAUUAGAAUCUUUAUCGUAAGUAUAUGAUCCUAAAGUAUCCUUGGAUGUGUAUAGUAUAAACACGAUUUUAGUUAUGAAAUCAUGCGUGAAACACUUAGUAUUUAUUAUGAAAACAUAUAA
Molecule: small RNA, 440 nt
Filed under: Arabidopsis thaliana (thale cress)
Lineage: Eukaryota; Viridiplantae; Streptophyta; Magnoliopsida; Brassicales; Brassicaceae
Description: ATSL213270
Source: RNAcentral